UACGUAGGGUCCAAGCGUUGUCCGGAUUUAUUGGGCGUAAAGGGCGCGUAGGUGGCCACUUCAAGCGUGCGGUGAAAGUCGGGGGCUCAACCCCUGAUCGGCCGUGCGAACUGGGGGCUGGAGCACGUGUAGAGGCAGGCGGAAUUCCUGGUGUAGCGGUGGAAUGCGCAGAUAUCAGGAGGAACACCAAUAGCGAAGGCAGCUCGCUGGGACGUUACUGACACUGAGGCGCGAAAGCGUGGGGAGCGAACAGG
Molecule: ribosomal RNA, 254 nt
Filed under: uncultured bacterium
Lineage: Bacteria
Description: partial 16S ribosomal RNA
Rfam family: Bacterial small subunit ribosomal RNA
Source: RNAcentral